RNAcentral lists this ribosomal RNA (168 nucleotides) under Leptacanthichthys gracilispinis (plainchin dreamarm). Its description in RNAcentral is "partial 12S rRNA". The record is from RNAcentral. Lineage: Eukaryota; Metazoa; Chordata; Actinopteri; Lophiiformes; Oneirodidae.
CACCGCGGUUAUACGAGAGGCCCAAAUUGAUAGCCACCGGCGUAAAGGGUGGUUAUGAUCUCACUAAAAUAAAGUCAAAUGCCUCCAAAGCUGUUAUACGCACCCGGAAGUGAGAAGCUCAACUACGAAAGUGACUUUAAGAACUCUGACCCCACGAAAGCUGUGACA